AUUGCCCUUACGGCUCAGUAACACGUAGUCAACAUGCCCAGGGGACGUGGAUAACCUCGGGAAACUGAGGAUAAACCGCGAUAGGUCAUCACUUCUGGAAUGGGUAAUGACUUAAAUCUAUAUGGCCCCUGGAUUGGACUGCGGCCGAUCAGGCUGUUGGUGAGGUAAUGGCCCACCAAACCUGUAACCGGUACGGGCUCUGAGAGGAGGAGCCCGGAGAUGGGCACUGAGACAAGGGCCCAGGCCCUAUGGGGCGCAGCAGGCGCGAAACUUCUGCAAUAGGCGAAAGCUUGACAGGGUUAUUCUGAGUGAUUUCCGUUAAGGAGAUCUUUUGGCACCUCUAAAAAUGGUGUAGAAUAAGGGGUGGGCAAGUCUGGUGUCAGCCGCCGCGGUAAUACCAGCACCCCGAGUGGUCGGGACGUUUAUUGGGCCUAAAGCAUCCGUAGCCGGUUCUACAAGUCUUCCGUUAAAUCCACCUGCUUAACAGAUGGGCUGCGGAAGAUACUAUAGAGCUAGGAGGCGGGAGAGGCAAGCGGUACUCGAUGGGUAGGGGUAAAAUCCGUUGAUCCAUUGAAGACCACCAGUGGCGAAGGCGGCUUGCCAGAACGCGCUCGACGGUGAGGGAUGAAAGCUGGGGGAGCAAACCGGAUUAGAUACCCGGGUAGUCCCAGCUGUAAACGAUGCAGACUCGGUGAUGGGUUGGCUUCGAGCCAACCCAGUGCCGCAGGGAAGCCGUUAAGUCUGCCGCCUGGGGAGUACGGUCGCAAGACUGAAACUUAAAGGAAUUGGCGGGGGAGCAC
RNAcentral lists this ribosomal RNA (800 nucleotides) under uncultured bacterium. RNAcentral's name for it is "bacterial SSU rRNA". It matches the Rfam family "Archaeal small subunit ribosomal RNA", at positions 76 to 879 of the family's 1478-position model. The record is from RNAcentral.